UACAUAAUCUGCAUUUUUGGU
Molecule: non-coding RNA, 21 nt
Filed under: Caenorhabditis elegans
Lineage: Eukaryota; Metazoa; Nematoda; Chromadorea; Rhabditida; Rhabditidae
Source: RNAcentral